Molecule: transfer RNA, 72 nt
Filed under: Camelus bactrianus (Bactrian camel)
Lineage: Eukaryota; Metazoa; Chordata; Mammalia; Artiodactyla; Camelidae
Also listed under: 2 other names
Rfam family: tRNA
About the family: Transfer RNA (tRNA) molecules are approximately 80 nucleotides in length. Their secondary structure includes four short double-helical elements and three loops (D, anti-codon, and T loops).
Source: Rfam by way of RNAcentral
GAGGGUGUAGCUCAGUGGUAGAGCACGUGCUUAGCAUGCACGAGGUCCUGGGUUCAAUCUCCCUUACCUCCA